This 331-nucleotide ribosomal RNA is filed under the name Sahyadrimetrus tikaderi. RNAcentral describes it as "Scorpionoidea gen. 2 sp. 2 SFL-2020 partial small subunit ribosomal RNA". The record is from RNAcentral. Lineage: Eukaryota; Metazoa; Arthropoda; Arachnida; Scorpiones; Scorpionidae.
UAACAUGUUAGAAAUUAGGUAGUAAUGAUAUUUCUGAAACCUAAAGAACUUGGCGGUAUUUUAGAUAAUUGGAGGAACUUGUUGUUUAAUUGAAAUCCCACAACACAUCUUCCCUUAUUUUUGUUUGUAUAUCGUUGUUUUAGGACAACAUUUCAAAAUGUAGUCAAGAUUAAAGUUUUUUUUUAAAUCAAAUCAAGGUGCAGCAUAAUAGGGUUAUAAUGAGUUACAAUAUAGUUUAUGUAAACGGAAAGGAUAUGAAAAGUAAAUGGAAGGUGGAUUCAAAAGUAAUAAAAAAUUAAAAAGUUUUUAUGGAUUGUAAUUUAAAAUAUGC